AUUGAACGCUGGCGGAAUGCUUUACACAUGCAAGUCGAACGGCAGCACGGACUUCGGUCUGGUGGCGAGUGGCGAACGGGUGAGUAAUACAUCGGAACGUGCCCAGUCGUGGGGGAUAACGUAGCGAAAGCUACGCUUAUCCCGCAAACGAUCUAGGGAUGAAAGCGGGCGAUCGCAUGACCCCGCGCGAUUGGAGCGACCGAUGGCAGAUUAGGUAGUUGGUGGGGUAAAGGAUAACCAAGCCGACGAUCUGUAGCUGGACUGAGAGGACGACCAGCCAGACUGGGACUGAGACACGGCCCAGACUCCUACGGGAGGCAGCAGUGGGGAAUUUUGGACAAGGGGCGCAAGCCUGAUCCAGCCAUUCCGCGUGCAGGAUGAAGGCCCUCGGGUUGUAAACUGCUUUUGUACGGAACGAAAAGGCUCUGGUUAAUACCCGGGGCUCAUGACGGUACCGUAAGAAUAAGCACCGGCUAACUACGUGCCAGCAGCCGCAGUAA
RNAcentral lists this ribosomal RNA (500 nucleotides) under uncultured bacterium. Its description in RNAcentral is "partial 16S ribosomal RNA". It matches the Rfam family "Bacterial small subunit ribosomal RNA", at positions 29 to 523 of the family's 1533-position model. The record is from RNAcentral.